UCAAUCAUCAUCCCGACGGGUUCUGCCCGGCGGGGUUGGAGUUGGGCGCUGCCAUCCGUGGCUCGCCUCAAAUGCAUCGGUGGCACACCUUUGCCCGCACUGGCGUAAUACGUUUCGUCACGACCGGGACAGGGGGGCCUCCUUGAAACCGCCUGCCUUGGCAGGAAGCAC
RNAcentral lists this unclassified non-coding RNA (171 nucleotides) under uncultured fungus. RNAcentral describes it as "sequence contains ITS2". Lineage: Eukaryota; Fungi. The record is from RNAcentral.